GUUGUAUGGUUAAGUGACUAAGCGUACACGGUGGAUGCCUUGGCAGUCAGAGGCGAUGAAAGACGUAAUAACUUGCGAUAAGCCCAGAUUAGGUAGUAAUAACCUUUUGAGUCUGGGAUUUCUGAAUGGGGAAACCCACGUGCACAAGCACGUAUCCUGUUGUGAAUACAUAGCAACAGGAGGCAAACCGGGGGAACUGAAACAUCUAAGUACCCCGAGGAAGAGAAAUCAACCGAGAUUCCGAAAGUAGCGGCGAGCGAAAUUGGAUUAGCCCUUAAGCUUUUAAUGAUGCAGGUGAAGAGUCUGGAAAGUCUCGCAAUAAAGGGUGAUAGCCCCGUAACCGACACAUCAUAAUCAGUGAAAUCGAGUAGGGCGGGACACGUGAUAUCCUGUCUGAAUAUGGGGGGACCAUCCUCCAAGGCUAAAUACUACUGACUGACCGAUAGUGAACCAGUACCGUGAGGGAAAGGCGAAAAGAACCCCUGUGAGGGGAGUGAAAUAGAACCUGAAACCGUGUACGUACAAGCAGUAGGAGCACCUUCGUGGUGUGACUGCGUACCUUUUGUAUAAUGGGUCAGCGACUUAAUUUUAGUAGCAAGGUUAACCGUUUAGGGGAGCCGUAGGGAAACCGAGUCUUAACUGGGCGUACAGUUGCUAGGAUUAGACCCGAAACCAGGUGAUCUAGCCAUGGGCAGGUUGAAGGUUGAGUAACAUCAACUGGAGGACCGAACCGACUAAUGUUGAAAAAUUAGCGGAUGACUUGUGGCUAGGGGUGAAAGGCCAAUCAAACCUGGAGAUAGCUGGUUCUCCCCGAAAGCUAUUUAGGUAGCGCCUCGGACGAAUACUACUGGGGGUAGAGCACUGUUAAGGCUAGGGGGUCAUCCCGACUUACCAACCCUUUGCAAACUCCGAAUACCAGUAAGUACUAUCCGGGAGACACACGGCGGGUGCUAACGUCCGUCGUGGAGAGGGAAACAACCCAGACCGCCAGCUAAGGUCCCAAAGUAUAGCUAAGUGGGAAACGAUGUGGGAAGGCUCAGACAGCCAGGAUGUUGGCUUAGAAGCAGCCAUCAUUUAAAGAAAGCGUAAUAGCUCACUGGUCGAGUCGGCCUGCGCGGAAGAUGUAACGGGGCUAAGCUAUACACCGAAGCUGCGGCUACGUACCUUAGGGUAUGUGGGGUAGGGGAGCGUUCUGUAAGCCGUUGAAGGUGGUCUGUAAGGGCUGCUGGAGGUAUCAGAAGUGCGAAUGCUGACAUGAGUAACGAUAAAGGGAGUGAAAAACUCCCUCGCCGGAAGACCAAGGGUUCCUGUCCAACGUUAAUCGGGGCAGGGUAAGUCGACUCCUAAGGCGAGGCCGAAAGGCGUAGUCGAUGGGAAACGGGUUAAUAUUCCCGUACUUCUUACAAUUGCGAUGGGGGGACGGAGAAGGCUAGGUGG
Molecule: ribosomal RNA, 1437 nt
Filed under: Vibrio tasmaniensis ZS-17
Lineage: Bacteria; Pseudomonadati; Pseudomonadota; Gammaproteobacteria; Vibrionales; Vibrionaceae
Description: bacterial LSU rRNA
Rfam family: Bacterial large subunit ribosomal RNA
Source: RNAcentral